RNAcentral lists this ribosomal RNA (253 nucleotides) under uncultured bacterium. RNAcentral describes it as "partial 16S ribosomal RNA". It matches the Rfam family "Bacterial small subunit ribosomal RNA", at positions 524 to 776 of the family's 1533-position model. The record is from RNAcentral.
UACGGAGGGGGCAAGCGUUGUUCGGAAUUACUGGGCGUAAAGGGCGCGUAGGCGGUGCCUCAAGUCAGAUGUGAAAUCCCCGGGCUCAACCUGGGAACUGCAUUUGUGACUGUAGAGCUGGAGUGCGGCAGAGGGGGAUGGAAUUCCGCGUGUAGCAGUGAAAUGCGUAGAUAUGCGGAGGAACACCGAUGGCGAAGGCAAUCCCCUGGGCCUGCACUGACGCUCAUGCACGAAAGCGUGGGGAGCAAACAGG